Benincasa hispida (wax gourd) is the source of this 4133-nucleotide long non-coding RNA. RefSeq lists it as uncharacterized. Lineage: Eukaryota; Viridiplantae; Streptophyta; Magnoliopsida; Cucurbitales; Cucurbitaceae. The record is from RefSeq and is a predicted model, not a curated record.
CAUCGUGGAUUCGAUGUGGUCAAAGAACAAGUCGCAAGCAUCAUUGAUGAAGAAGAAGAAUAGUCAACGCCCUGCAAGUUGAUUUUUCAACGCCACCAAUAAGAAGGAAAAGAGAAAAAUAAUAAAGAAUAAAAGGCUGAAAGUCACGCCUAGAAGAAGAAGGAAAGAGGGAAAAAAAAGAAAAAAAAGGUUGAAGGUCCGUCGGAGAAGAAAAAGAGGAAGGAAAGAGAAAAAAAGAGAAAAGAAAUGUUGAAGGUUGCACCAGAGAAGAAUAAGGAAAGAAGAAGAAAUAAAUAAAUGGCAUAUUCUUAACUUCACUCAACCAUGAUAUCAACACAUAGUCAUUUGACAUUUUUCUCAGAAAAUGGGUCAUUGAACAUUUUGGGUCUCCAAAAUGGAUCAGCGGUCCAAAUUUCCCUUCCAAAAACUGAAAUGGUAAAUAUAUAAAAUCUGGCAAGAGCGUUGAGAUGCUAACAAUGCAAGUGAGUAGUUUUGUAAAGCGUCAAGUGUGGCAAGAUUACGUCAUGUUGAAGACGCUCUAUCACAGCGUCGAGAUGCUUACUCUUGGGGAAAAAUUGCAUUUGAGGUAUUUUUUACGCAUCAUCAAAGCAAUCUCAAUCCAUUUGCAAUUGAUUCAAUUACGAUUAAUUUUUAUUAUGAUUGGACCAAAUUUAUUUUUCGAAACUAUAAACAUGACCUUAGUUCACUAUAAAUUUCAAUUGCGUGUAGAACUCAUCAAAACUUGGAAUCUCUCAACUUCAAUUCACCUUUUGUCUCCCUAAAAAGAUAAAAACAAACCUUGGAACAUUGUAGCCUUUUAUUUUCUUAUAUAAUGUAAAGAGAAUAAAUGAGAGCAGGUGAAGAAAAGAGACAGCUACAAAAGUGGAUUAGCUUGGCCCAUAAACACACAAAUUAGAAGUCACCAGAUUCUUCACUUUUCCAUAUAUUUCUCAUAUUUAACUGUUCCCUUCUUCAAUACAAACUAGAAUUUUUCCUCUCAUAAAACUCUGUUCACACAUCUUUCUCUCUCUUUUCUUUUUGUCAAAAUCAUGACCUAAUAGUGAUAAAAGAAAGAGAGAGAGAAUCCCAAAAACUACUUAAUACCCACAGAACUCAGAAGGAGAAAAAAAAAAUACCAUAGUUUCUUGAGCCUUCUCAUUAAGUAUUGUGAUUUAAAUACCUUGUUCUUCCUCUUCUUCUCUUGGCAACUAAGUUUGUGUUGGAUAGAAGAUAUGAGUGAUCCCAAAUAUGCCUAUCCCUAUCCACCUCCUCAAGGAGGGUAUUAUCAAGGGCCGCCCGUGAUGGCACCACCGCAAUACGCUGCCCCACCGCCCAGAAGACAACCGGGCUUCUUGGAGGGAUGCCUUGCAGCUCUGUGCUGCUGUUGUCUCCUUGAUGAGUGUUGCUGUGACCCUUCCAUUAUCUGUAUUACCUAAUCUAAGCUUUGAUUGCCUUUCUAGCAGUAAAUUGGCUUUCUACUUCAGCAUGAAGAUUCAAGACUUCUUUUUUUUUUACCUUCUUCUUUGGAAGUGGUUUGAUUUUGUAUAAACUUGGAAUGAAGAUUGAUUGGUGUUUAGAAUAAAGCUGUGUUUUGUUGUAAAGUAUAGAGUAGUUUAUGGCUCAUUAACUAACAAAUUUAGUCUAUAAACUUUAGCAUGCAUGUUUAUUCUAGGUUUUAAACUUUGAAUUCCCUUCUCCUACCUGGAAACUGCAGGGAACUCUAGAAGCUAGAAAAUGUUCUUAUUGAUGAUUCUUUAUUCCGAGAGCAUCUAGGGUUCCUCACCUUUUCCCGAGUCCAAAGAUACGUUGAGAAUCUUCCACAUUGGAAAGACGAGAAUACCUAUAAAUCUUUAUAAGAUAGAUGAAUUACUCUUCUUGUUACCAAUUGAUUUUGAGAUGAAACUUCAUGUUUAUCUAAAUAAAAGACCACGUCAUAAACCGCCAUUCCACAAUUUCUACGAUGUUUCUACUUAAAAAUUGAUAGGGUUGCACAAACAUGAUGGGUCUUUAAAAGAAUUUUUUAUGUUUAUUUGUUUUUUUUUUGUUUGUUUCUAGCUAUAUACUUUUUUCAAUAAGCCUUUGUUGAAUAGACAUAUUAUGAAUCAUUCAUGGGUUAGAUGAACUAUACACAAUCACAAGUCGAAAGUUUAGAUGUAAUGAUAAUUUUUGGUCUAAAGAAAAUCAAGAUCCUAUAGAUGCUUUAAAAUUGCAAUUUAUCCUAACAUCACAUUUUUAUGCAUAGCCAAGAAUGUACUUGAGUUGAAAACUUUUGAGUCCUUAAAAUAAUGAGAUUAAAAGAAAAGGUUGAGAUUUGAAAAGAUGCAUUUAUGUUAUUUAUAGUUUGUAACAUUUUUGGCUCGUUCCUUGUAAUUUAUCCUAACAUCAUUUAUGUGAUUUGAAAUUGGAUUGAACAAGUACAAUCAACAAAUCAACAAUCCAUAAAAAAAGAUACUAAUUGAAAUACAAACAUUUAGAAAAUUAAAGAUAAAGAGAAAGGAAGAAAUGGCUAUCCAGACGAUCCGACUUCAUCUUCGUUUUCAAAUCCCUCUCAACUCUUGAUUUUUACCUCCAAGCUUCAAAUAUAGUGUUUUCUCUCGUCACUCCUAUCCAAAAACGUCUUCUCCUUUACGUAAAACCGAAAUGGAAAAUAUAUAAAAUCUGGGCAAGAGUGUUGAGACCCUAAGAACAAGUGAGUAGCUUUGUAUAGCAUCAAGUGUGUCAAGAUUGGAUAGCGUCGAAGUUUGAGAUGCUCUAUGACAACGUCAAUGGGGAAAAUUUGCACUUGAGGCAUUUUGACACUUUGUGAGGUAUUUUGACACAUCAUCAAAUGAAUUUCAUUCCAUUUGCGAUUAAUUUAGUUACUAUUGAUUUCCAUUAUGAUUGGACCAAAUUUUUAUCAUGGGUGUGAAAAUGUGACCUUAAUUAAUUCAAUAUAAGUUUCAAUUGCGUGUAGAAUCCAUCAAAACUUCAAAUCUCUCUAGAACAUUCUAGCCUUUUCUUUUCUUAUAUAAUGUAAAGAGAAUAAUUGAGAGCAGGUGGAGAAAAGAGGCAACUACGAUAGUGGAUUAGCUUAGCGCAUAAUAAAUGUUCGGGAAAAUCUCCCACUACUGUCGGAGAAAAAACUAUAGAUUAUAAAAAUUUCACUAUGUGAAAAAUUAUUAUAAUUACAAAGAAAUCUCUCCACUGUGUGAAAAUUUUUUACAAGUACAACGAAAUCUCUUCUCGACCCCAAUUACAAGAGUACUCUUUCAAACCAUCAUAUAUCACUCACGCAAUUGAAUUAGUAUUAAAUUGGGAUGAUGUCAAAACAAAAAUCAAACUCCUUUUAUAGUAUUUGGAGUACAUCACUUUCUUGAAUCUUUUUGAAGUGGGAUAAGUAAACUUCUAGUAUUUUGUCAUAACCCAACGUAUACACACAAAAUGAGAAGUCACCAGAUGCAUCACUUUUUUAUUUCUCAUAUUUAAUUGCCCCCUUCUUCUUCAAUACAACUAGAAUCUUUCCUUUCAUAAAGCUCUAUUCCCACCUUUUCUUUUGUCAAAAACAUGAUCAAAUAGUGAUAAAAGAAAGAGAGAAUCCCAAAAACUAAUUAAUAUCCACAUGAGGAGAAAAAAGGGUCAUAGUUUCUUGAGCCUUCUCAUUAAGUAUUGUGAUUUAAGUACCCCUUCUUCUUCCUCUUCUUCUCCUUGCAUUUCAGCUUGUGUUGGAUAGAAGAUAUGAGUAAUCACAAACAUACCUAUCCCUAUUCACCUCCUCAAGGAGGGUAUUAUCAAAGGUUGCCCAUGAUGGCGCUAUCGCCAUACCCGCCACCCAAAAGAUAAUCGGGCUUCUUGGAGGGAUGCCUUGCAGCUCUGUGUUGCUGCUGUCUCCUUGAUGAGUGUCGCUGUGACCCUUCCAUUAUCUGUAUUACCUGAACUAAGCUUUAAUUGUGCCCUUAUAGCUGUAAACUGGCUUUUUACUACAACAUGCAGAUUCAUGACUUUUAUUUUCUUCUUUUGGAGUGGUUUGAUUUUGUGUAAGAUUGGAAAGAAGAUUGUUUGGUAUCUAGAACAAAGUUGUGUUAUGUUGUAAAGUAUUGACCUUACCCAUUUGAUAGUAACUUUAAGGGUCCACUUUAAAAAGUUUAGUCUUUAAA